RNAcentral lists this unclassified non-coding RNA (213 nucleotides) under Glomus sp. RNAcentral's name for it is "partial internal transcribed spacer 2". Lineage: Eukaryota; Fungi; Glomeromycota; Glomeromycetes; Glomerales; Glomeraceae. The record is from RNAcentral.
GUGAAUCAUCGAAUUUUUGAACGCAAAUUGCACUCUCCUCGAAGAGGAUGCGCGUUUGAGGGUCAGCCUCUAAAAAUUGAUAAAGUUGCUGUUUCCCGGUGGAGAUGGGCGGAAAUUGGGUCCUCUUAAAUCCUUUUGAUUUAUGCGACUUAAAAUUUUCUUUUGGUUGCAUGAACGUUCCUAACGUCUGAAUCUUGACACGUAUAAGGUAUC